AUGGAGGUUCGGUCGGCUCAGGUGGCCGGAAACGGAGGAGGAAAGGGGGAGAGGAGGUCGCGCGCUUGGUGCUAGCGCAAGGAAGAAGAAGGGAAAAAAAAGAAAAGUAAAAGAAAAAGAAAAAGAAAAAGAAAAAAAAGAAAAAAGAAAAAAAAUCUUGGGGCUUCUAGACCAUUCCGGUUCGAUUCGAACCGGUUUGGUCUAAUUUAAUGAUUCGGCUCGAUUUUUGCUCGAUUUUCAAGUUUUUCAAUUGGUUUUUGAAUUAUUCUUGUGGUUUUCAAUUUUUGGGCUUGGGCCCAAUUUGAAAAUUUGGGCUCGAAUUGAGCCUGUUUUACAUUUACAGCCCACACGGCCAAAAUUUGCGAUUUUUGAUUUAAAAAAAAUUCGAAGGUUUUGAAAAUAAAAAUUCGGGGUAUUAUAAACAUGAAGUGUCAACUAUUACUCAUUAAUUUACAAACAUUUUCUUUUUAAAAUAUAUAAAAUAAUGUUUUGAUUGAAAUUCUUAAUUGUCAUUUCAAACUUUAAAUUUGGGAAGCAUGCAAAUCUUGAAAUGCUUGGUGUCAUUUUGGCAUGAGUCGCUCUCCUUUUCUUUUCUUUUGUUUUUUCCUUUCAAUUUUCGUAUUCUCAUCAUUAUAUUUUCUGUAUGUAGAUGAAACGACACAACAAGUUUAUUUCAAAUUUCAGCCAAUUCAAAGCUAUUGUCUUGUCAAUAUCACAAUUUAACAAUAACUAAUUAUGUUGUACGUAUUUCCUUCAAUGUACGUAUUAAUUGAAAGAGAAAAAGAAAUAAUAAAAUAAUGCAAUUUCCCUCUCUAUAAUGAUUAAAAUUAACCUGCAACAUCAUCGAAUAUAUAUAUAAUUAUAACAAUUUAAUCUGCAUAGAAUCAUUUAUCAAUUUUCUUUUGAUUAAAGUCUCAAUACAUUGUAUCAAUAAUACGUUGAUUGAAAUGCUAAGUGACCUUAAUUUCAUAAGGAUAAAAAUAAAAAUUCGAUUCUAAAAAAAUGCAUUUUAUUGAAAAGGCUAAAAAUUUUUACCCUUUACAACUCGAGGGAUUACACCAAUUUCAUAUUAUCUUAUCAUGUUAAUUUUUCUUUUGUACAUUGCUAAAAGAGUAAGUGUUGAGGGAUUAAAUUUAUGAUCUUUUGCAUCACAAAAUAGGUAUUGACUCCACUUAAUUAAAGAUAUUUUUGGAAUAUUUAAAUGUAAAAAGCCUAAAUUUUUUGCAUUUUUAUAAUUUUAUACUUUCCAAAACUUGCUGAUAUAACUAUUAAACUUCAUAAAUGAACAUAAAUACAACUUAAUCAGUAUUGAGUAAGCAAAUAAUAAAAAUAAAAUGAUAAAAAAGCAUGAAUUUAACUAUUUUUACAAUUUUAGUUAGUUCUUUUAAUUAUUAUAUAAUUUCUACUCCAUUGAUAUUAUAAUUUUUAUUUUUAUUUUAUAAUACUAAAUUUAUCUUGUUUAACUUAAUUAAAGAAGAACUAAACUUGAAAAUUAAUUAACAAAUGGGUGUCCUCUAAUCUAACCCAAAAGAUUAAAGAAUUCAGUACUUAAAGUUAAAUUUCCCCGUUUUAUUUUCCCAUUUAAAUUUAAAUAAAAGCGCACUGUUCUUGGCAUAAAUUAACAGCUCCAAUCAUGAAAGUUGGAGCUUAAACAAAAGUGACAGAAAUGUCAACUUAGAGUCAAUAAUGACCUAAAAAUGAGAAAAAAAAAAACUAUAAAAUAAUAUUUCCAUUCUUGAUUGAUUGAUAUUUAAUAUUUUUAAUUAGUGUAUUUCUCUCCUUUUCUAAUUGCACGCGCGAAACUAUCACUGUCUCAACCAAAUCUUUGGUUAUUAUAUUAACAUUAUUAACAUUCAUUUUUCUUGGAUUAAUGAAAUUUUCAACGCCUUCUACGUCAAGGGAAGACCGUGUUGAAAUAAUUAUCACUACACAAUAAAAAAUCAACUUGAAAUCAAUUACUCCCUAAUUAAUAUAAAUUUGACUUUUAAUAAAUAAAUAAAUAAAUAAAUUAGUAAAAGGAGCAUUUUAAUUUUCUGCAAAGUAUAUUUUUUUUGUUUGUUUUUUUGAGGGUAUUGAGAUUAAUUUUCUUUCUGAGUCAAUUCCACUUGUGCUUUUUUCUGCAAAUUAUUUAUUGUUUUAAAAGGAAAAAGGAAUUAAAUUCAAACGUCAUGAUUUAUGACUAUAUCAUAACAAUGAAAAGACCAAUAUAGAUUCGUGGGUUUGGCUGAUAAUAGUAAUUGGCUAAAAAGUGACGAACAGAAUAUAGAAAAUGAAAGGAAAGCGUUUAUAUUCUAAACCAGAAAGCCAUCAGCUUGACCAUCCAGGUGCAAUGGACUCAACCUGUAGUCCAUAAUCCAUAUUGAAACUUCUCCUAGAACGCCUAAAUGAUUCUCAGCCACCUCAUUCUCCACGAGGCCAAACAUCGUUUCUUUGACAUUCGCCAGGUGUCUUUUUUAUCCAUAUAAAUAUUAUUUACAAGCACUUAUGUAAGCCAUGCAAAACAUAACAAACUACACUACUCUGCAACUAAGCAUGGAUGAGGAUAAGAGCACAAAGAGCAAUAAGGAAGAAAGAAGCGACGGUGAAGUCAAAUACAGAGGCGUUCGAAGGCGGCCGUGGGGUAAAUUUGCGGCGGAGAUACGCGACUCCACCAGACAUGGAGCGCGGGUUUGGCUUGGAACUUUUAAAACGGCAGAGGAAGCAGCAAGAGCUUAUGACCGAGCCGCUUAUGCAAUGAGAGGGCAGUUUGCGAUUCUUAACUUCCCUAAUGAGUAUCCUCUUACAAGCACAGCUGGUGCUGGCGCUUCUUCUUCUUCAUCUUCUUCUGCUCCUCCUCCUCCUCCUCCUUCUUCUUCAGCAAUGACAAGGCAAGUUUUUGAGAUAGAGUAUUUGGAUGAUAAGUUACUGGAAGAGAUGCUUGAGACAGAAGAGCAAAAGAACAAGAAAAAGUAAUGAAGUUAAAAUUAUCAAAAACCCAUAAUGUAAGAUGUUUCUGCUUUGUUGCAACAAAAAUAUACAAAUGGUUUCUGUCUCUUGCACAUUAGAUUACCAUAAGACAUUACUACACGGGGAAAGAGUUAUCUACACCGCAUGCAUGGCCACAUCUAUAUCCAACCACUCACAUACGGUAUUUUGGUUCAAACAGGGGCAAUUUUGAUAAUAUAUUGGGAAAAAAAUGAUAAAAUGGUAACAUUUUUUUAAGACCCUAUUUUUUAAUUGGCUUGGUGUACAAGACCACACAUACAUCAGUUGUAAGAAAUUUUUAUCUUUGCUAUAUAAUUAAACUUUAUAUAAGUUUUUUUCACUUAUCAUACUUUAGUUAAAUUUGAGUGUAACAGAAUGUCUGAUGGCUAGAGUCUAGUCUUGAAUAUAUCUAGUUUUUUCCUAGCAUUUUUAGUUACUAAUAAAAAGAAAUUUGUUUGCCUAUAAAAAAAUACUAUGCAGUGUGUAUUUCAUGUUUUUUUCUUUUUAUUUUUAAUUAAUGACUGGUGAAUGCAUAUUCCCUCAAUAAAAGGUUGUGAGAAUAUUGAAACAUCUUGUACUUUUCUAGAAGGCAUAUGUUAUUGUCCAUCAAAUUGAUAAUUUGGUUCUUUUUCUAGUUCUAGAUUAUGGCAUGUUACCUAACUUAACCUUUUGUUUUAUAGCUUCUUAUUUAUACACAUUAUAUGAUGACUGCCUAGAAUUCAAUUUCCCAUGUGGAAAGAAAAGAAAUUUUAAUUAUUAAUUUAAUUUGCAUAUGUAACUGAAUGAACUACCCAACAGAACAAACUGAAAACCAACUAAUUAACUACCAUCUACUGCCUUUCAAGUAGCGAACCAACCAUUAUUGCACAUAUAUAUGGCGGCGACAAAGAUUGAGUUUUAAUUGAUGAGAGACAGAUUCAAUCUAAAAGUCUAAACUUAUGCAUAUAUGUUGUAGACUUGCCAAUUUACUUGCUUUCAUAUAUGCGAGGUUCAAUCACUUUAAACGAAUUGUCGGCUUGGUCGAGGACGACGAAAGGAUGCUUACAAUUAUUUGAACAAUUGACUAGUUAUCGUUUUCCGGUAGAGACACAGAGUUAUCAGUUCAUGAGUUUAACUUUUUACCUUCAAGUGGCUCAAUAAUUUUAUCAUUUUACUAGAAUUUCCAUCAUCCUGAGAUCAUUAGCAUCUCAAUAUCAGGGUACAGCUAGGAUUUUUAAGAGAUGUAAAACUAUUUAAAACCUGGUUUUGAACUUAGGCUUUGCUAAGGACCAACAUCAUGUGCCUCUGCUCCUGCUCAAUUUGCCUGCAGUUUUCUAAAUAAAUUUGAUUUCCAAUUCCAUAUAUACAUGUUCUUUCAAGGCAGUAACGCCAAUAAAGCAAGUCGUAGUGCAAAUCGUAUGGACUCGGCAAUUUAUCUGAGCCUUUUAUUUAUUUCUAAUAUAUACGACUCUUCUAGAUGAUUUUGUUCGAACAAAGAAAUCAUUUGCUUUAUUCAGAUGCUUCUUUAAUUCACGGAAAUUAUAAUAGCUUAUGAAAUAUAAUUGAGGUCCUGUCAUUUUGAUUCAUAUAUUCGAUAAUAACAUUUCAUCAAGGAAUAAUAUUUUUCACCGUCUUUUAAGAUGUGAUUAGAUUAUAACGAUUCCAUUUCACAGUAAAUAUCAUAUUCUGGGGUUCUUCAAACCAUAAACAUCUUGAUCUUUGCCCUUCUUUUUUUUUAUCUUAUAGUUGCUUUUCUUAUUAUUUUACAAAAAUUAAACUUUGAUCCAGUAUAUGCAGAUUUUCCUUUUUUUUUUUUUUUUUUUUUUAGAGAAAAUAGAAAAACUGGAGCUAUAUAAUAAAUUAUGGAAUUGCAGCAACUUUAAUUAAUUCAUUUAAAUUCCAGAAAUCCAUGGAAUUAACUACCAAGCCAUACAUUUCUCAUCUAAUGGGUGAACCACAAUUUAUUCAUCUUCUAUCUUAUAUGUAUAAAUAUAGAAAAGCUCUUCACUACAACAGUUAAUGUGAAGAGAAUGCAGAUAAUAUUCAUCAAUCUUCCCGUCGUUUCUUCUUCUUCUCCUCCUCUGAUUCAAGAAGCUCCUCCAAGACCGUAUCAUCUAAAUACUCGAACUCAAACACUUGCUUCUCUUGCCCACUCGAACUGGAGCUUCCUCUCUCAGAACUCAUCUCCAUUGCACCACUAAAUGAAGAGGAAGGAGAUGACGACUGAUGAGGAGAAGACGAUGAAGCAAUUACUCGAGAAUAAUAUUCAUUAGGAAAAUUAAGGAUUGCAAGAUGACCUCUCAUGCUAAAUGCAGCUCUAUCAUAAGCACGCGCCGCCUCCUCUGCGGUGUCAAAUGUUCCUAGCCACAACCUAGCCCCCUGCCUUGAUGGGUCUCGAAUCUCCGACGCAUAUUUCCCCCACGGCCGCCUUCUUACCCCUCGGUAAUGCACUUCUUCUCUUCCUUUAUCUUCUUUGUUCUUGGUCCCUUUGCUGCUACUGCCUUCCAUAUAAUAAGACUAUCUAAUUAAUUUGUAUUUAUCAAUUAAUUAAAUUAUUGGUUUGGUAAAUUGUAUUUUUCAAAUUUGAAGCUUGGUAAUUUGGUUAUGUUAUUAUAAUGGGUGGGUGAUAUUUAUAUAUGAAUUUUGGAUCUUUAGGUCAUUAAAAUUUUAAUUAAUUACCAAUUAGGAAUUCUCAAUUACGUGGAUUUGACUAUAUAUAUAUAUCUGGUAACUCUAUUUCGAGGAAGGUUCUUUGCAGUACAAAUAUGAAUUGGAUUGUUCUAUGAUUCUAAUAAUGGUAUUGGAAAAGCAUAGUAAAAAUAUUAAUUUUUAAAGAGGUUCUUAUUCUGUUAAUUUGGAAUAAAUGUAUAGCAUGAGUAAUAGUGUAUGUCACUAGCAAAUCUGAAAUCUAUAUGCUGACUUCAUGACCGCUAUUAAGAUAAUAAAAUUUAAUUAAUUUUAUUAGCAUUUCUUCGAUAUGAUGCCCAAAUCAAAUUUGGUUUUUAUGUAAUUAGAUUUAAUUGGACCUACCCUUACAAUUAACUUGCUAAUAAAGUUAAUAUUAUUCUAUUUAUGGUGCUCAAAAUCAAAAAUGGAAGACCUAGUCCUACCUCCUCCUUUCUCUUUUCCCAUAAAGGUAUUGGCAUUUGGCACCUUACUAUUUCGAUUCUCUGAAUUUUUUUUUUUUUUGGUAAUUACUGUAUAGAUUUUAUUCAAAUGCUCUUAGUGACUACCUCAAUUCAGGUUGUGGCUCAAAUUCGCAACGUAGAUUGGAUACAUGGAAAGAAUUCUAGGAUUUGAUCUCCAUUAAACAUACCUACAUAGAAGGGUGAAGAGUUUUAACUGUGACUAAACUCCGAACCAGAUUAAUUGAUCUCCGAUAAUGUCCAAACACUGAUGGUUUACACGAAAAAAAGACCUCAAUUUUUAAAAUUAUACUAUUUAGAUAUUGUCUUAUAAUUUCUACUACUCUAAGGUCCAACCGUUAGUUUUCAUUAAAUGAAAUAUCAAAAGAUAAUUACUAUACAAUUCUUAUGGUUUAGAGAAAUGUACUAAUCAAGACCUCAAUUUACAUAAUUUUUAUACUAUUUAACCUCUAUAUAAUAAUUCUUCUUGAGUGUCUGUUUGAUAUUUCAUAACCACUUGACGGAAAUACAAACAGCUGGACCUAAUAAUAUAAUAUAACUAUAAUGUAAUGACUAAAUGGUGUAAUUUUGAAAAUUGAAGUUCAUACUAACGCAUUUGAUAACAAUAUAAGGAUUAUACAGUAAUUUACUUUAAUUUUUUAUGGAUUAAUUAUGAAAAAAACAAAACUGAAUUCCUUCCUGACUAGGUAAUCGAGUCUCAGUUGGAUUAUUCGAUUUGAUUACUUAUAAUUGAAUAAUUCUACAGUCUUAUACAAGACCACGUGCUCUCUCAAUUCUUUCAAUUCAUAUCUACUUGUAAAUUUGGAUUUAUUAGAAAUUGAAAUGUUUUCUAACAACGGUUUAAUGAUUUUCAACCAUAUUAUUUUGCAUACAUAUUUUCACAUUCAGACCGGAUGGUAAAGUCGAAUUGAUGGGCAGAAAGUUUCAGACAUAAAAGGAAGGCCUUCAUUAUUCUGUAAUGAUGUCCUGUAACAAAACAAUAAACUUAAUUUUGAAAAAAUUAAUAAAAGAAAAACAAAAAGAAGAAACAAUUUCUUGUUUGGACAAAGGGUGGCCCAAAUGAUGAAACGCAGCCCAGUUGAUUUUACGUAAGCAAACCCAACCCGCAAUAGAUUCCUUGGUUUAUUCUUGCUAUUAUGAACAGGUAGCAGAUAUAUUAAUUUUAGAAAGCAAUUUUAAUUUUUCGUAUUUUUACAUUUUUUUGGUCAAAAAUGUCAUUAUUAUUAUUAUUAUUAUUAUUAUUAUCAGAAAAAAAAUUAACAGAUUGAAUGUGGUUUUAUGGAGAAAAAUGAAAAAGAAGUGUUGAGUUGGAGUCUAUUAGCAAUUAGCAGCCAUUCAAUUCAAAUGUUUGCAGAGAAGAAAUGAGUUCAUUAAUGCAUUGGGCGGUGGUCAAAUAGAUAGGCCCAUUUAUUGGGUUGGGUUGGGACCCAAAGGAGCCUAAAUUAUCAUUUUUAUUGUUUUUGUAAAAUAAAUUUAAUUUAGCAGAUGAUAUCAAACAAAUUCUACUUUUGAUUGUAGACUAAAGCCUUGGUCUUUUUUAUAUGACAAUGGCCUUUCUUAUAUUUUAAUAAUAAUAUAAGCUCGCAAUAAAUAUUUAAAUAUUUUUAUUGUUAAAUUAUUAUUAAAAUCAUUCUAUUUAAUUGUGUUAUACUUUUUUUUAAAUUAAAAAGAGAACGAAAAUAUGAAUAAUAGUAUAUUUUCAGGUAAUAAAUAAAUAUAUUUGUCAUUAGAUGUAACAUAUAUAAUUAAAAUAGAAUGAAUAAAAUAGAAAAAUACUACAUAUGUAGAUACGAAGAUAUCUAAUUACCAAUAUGUGAUAGAAAGAUAUCUAAAAAAGUGGAGGACAAGUUCUAUAAGAGGUUGUAAAAAAUCUAAGAGUUCUUAACAUUGUCAUGUAGAUAAUUAUGAACAAAGUGAAAUAUAAAUAAAUAAUUUAUAUAGCUAAUUCUAAUUAAUUUCGCUUUGUUUAUAUUUUAAUGGAAUAUUACUAAAUACAUUAAUAAUAUAUAUCUCCUUAGGAUUUUGUUUUUCUCAAUAUUUAUUUAUGUUUGAAAAAGUGCCGUCAUAUUUUUGGCAUCUAGUCAUGUCAAAACGACUACCUAUUUGUUAUGCCAAUUUGGAAACCUUAGCCACGAUUGCUCAACUGUUUCAGGCAGCCGCCAUAAUUUUGUCGUUUAGUAAUGACGUAUUGCAUCCAUAGACAAGUAUUUUGGAACACAAAAAUAUUAAUUAAUAAUUUUUUUUUCUAAAAGAACAUAAGCAAAUUUUCCACUUGUAAAAUUUUUAUUUGAUAGAACUCCUAACAAGCAAUACAGCUUGCUUUUGGCUCAUGAAAUAAAAUAAAGAGUAUUUACACAAUUAUUUUUCUUCUUCUAUUUAAAGAAAAAGGGUAUUCACACAAUGGAUUGGACCAGCCCAAUUUAGAAUCGAGGUGGGGCCUAGAUUACAUUUCCAAAUAAUUUAGCGCCCGGGUUGGAUUCCAGCCCAAUCCAGCAAUCGUAUGGUUACUCCCUUAAUUGAAAAAUUAAUUAACUGGGAUAUGUGUUUUGCUUUAUUUAUUUUUGAAAAAUAAUUUAUCUGAUAAAUAUUAUUUACGUAUUUGAGAUGUUCAGAAAAGAAUUAAUAAAAUGGGAUAUGAAAAUCUUUUUAUAAUCAACGGAAAAAUUAAAAUUUUUUUUAAGUAAAUUGACUUUCUGUUUUUAAGAGAGGAGAGGAUAUCUUUCAAAUAUUGACAAACUCAUUAUAAUUUUAUAAAUACAUAUUUAUUAAUUUAUUAAUAACUAAUACCCACAAUCACCAUUUACUUAUCACUAUUUUUUAUGUAAUUUUUCAUAUUAAUGAUAAAAUUUUAAAUAUAAAUUUUUACAAUCAUAAUUAUUUUUAUAAUUUUAUAAGUUAAAAUAUUUUAAACUAAUUUUCUAUAAUAUAAUCAAACAAUGGAAAAUAAAUCAUUUAAAAAUUAUUUUUUCGGGAAAACAUUUUCUUUAAGUAAUAAAUUUUCAAAAAUAAGUUAUUUUUAAGAAAUAAACAAAAAUUUAGUUUCCCAAAAUUUAAAUUCAUGAAAAAUAUAAAUUGAUCAAGAUAUUUUAAUACCAUCUGCAUUCACUUAUGCAGCAAAUUAACUAAAUAUAGAUAUUUGAUAUAAAUAAAGGUGUCAUAAUAUAAAAGCACAAAACUUCGUAGGCAAAUUUAUGAAUUUGGAAAAUAUUUUUCAAUAUUCUCAUCAUCAUCUCCACGCCUACAAGGCUGCGCGGAUCAUUAGUUACCAAUUUAUAUGUAUAGAUUCAGUUAAUCUCCUUAAGUUAAUGAUUUAAUCAACUCAGCAACUAUCAUAAGUUUAUUGGUAAAUGUUAAGCUGAUAUUUUAUUAAAUAAUAUAUCUAUAACAGCCUAUCAUUACCCACCUAAUCCUCAUAGGUACAUUGAGCCUAACCAUAACAGUUGCAAAUGCUUCAUUCUAAUUGAUUUGAAGCAUCUUAACUUUUCUAGUUGAAAAAGCACGUUUCUAAUGUGAAUAACACAAAUAUGUUUAGGGUACUCUGAAACAAGCUAAAAGGUUAACACCAGGAGAAGAAUAUUCGCUACUAAUUAAUCAUUAAUUACAUUACAAAUUAAUAUGAUUAGUCCUUGUAUAGUAUACAUCAUAAGCAACUAAUCUAAUGAAUCUAAACUGUAAACAUGUGUUAGUAAAAUUUACUGUGUUUUGGUAAUUAUUAGUUGUUUUGUUAGUCGUUAGCUGUUUUAGCAGUAUUUAGCUGUUUGAGUAACUUUUUAUAAAACCAUUAAAAACUAAACGUUACAAGAAUUAAUAUUUUAUAAAAUGUUACAUUAACUUCUAAACAUUAGUAGAAAUGCUAUAUAUGUUACAAAACACUAUUAAAAAUAACGUUUAGGGUUUUGACCAAAUACUUAAAAUGCUGUUAUCUAACAUGACAUGUAUAAUUUUUUACCUUAAUCAAAGUGCACCUUCUGAUUACAAUUUGGAAAGGUAAUUAGUAGGAACAUAUAUAUGGACAAAUCUUAUAAUUAAGCUAAUUGCCAUUUAAACAUUUGUUUAUUGGAUUUGGUAGUAUAGUUCAAUAAGAGUGUUACAUGUACUGAUUCAUGCACCCAUUACAUCUUAACAAUAGUGGAAGUUUGAAACUUUAGUAUUAGGAUAUGCAUUUGAUGUCAUGUCACAAUCUUUUAUUCUUGUUGGUCCUCUCUUAGGGAUAUAACUAUUAUUCAAACAUAUAUGAAGAAUGUUCGGUCCAACUAUGUAUUAAUUAACUAUGGACUUACUGUUAAUUUUCCUGGUUUCAGGCAUUGUAGAAGCAGAAACUUCAUUAAGCCUUCCUUUAAGAGAAGAGUUUUAUUGCCAUUGCUCUUGUUUUAUUUUAUUUUAUUAAACGAGAUCUCAAGUCAUAGAUGGAACUUAAAAUUGCUAAGUGCAUGCAUUUAGUUAUGUUAAUAUUCACUAUCACUAUAGUUAUAGAAAAUGUUGUUACCUCAUCGCUGACCUAACGAAUCUUAACAAUAAUUAUUUUUGUGGAAUUACACUUAUGGGUUUAAUUCAAAACCUUUCACUGUAUUGGUCAUGGCAUGUGGGUUGUCAUGAAUUUUUGUUACUUCGUCAUGGGAUUUAUUAUGAUCAUCUUUAUAUUUCACGUGAAUGAGCUGAAAUUCAAAAUCAAAAAAAAAAAAAAUGUCUUAGCAGUUUUUUUUAUAAUUUUAAUUUUAAAAACAAUGUAAUACAUUUAUUGCCUUUAAUUUAAAGAGUCUGAAAUAUUUAAAAUUUUCAUAUUGUUUAUUAAAUAGAUGUAUAAUUUUGUCUCUUUUUUCCUUGACAAUUAUAUAUAUAUUAAAAUUUAUUUUAAUACACUGGAAAAAUAAAAGUGCUAGAGUUUUUUUCUUUUUCCCUUUUUUUUCAUCUUUUGAAACAUGAAAUUAGAUGUUGUUAUCCAUGAGAUGUGAAUGCUUAAAAAUUGAUUUUGCAUCACUUUCUUUAAUAGAUAAUAUAUAAUUAUGGGUAGCAAUAAUAGAGAAGUCACAAUCAUGGUCACGAUUUCAUCCUACUCAGAAUAUUCAGCAAGUUCAUUUUGUACACAAGAUUUGCCAAUCUUUCUAUUUGUGUGUCAUUCAAAUCACUACUACAAUUAAGUGAUAAAUGACUCUUUUUUGCUAUUUGAAAAACAAAAAUUGGAGAGAAGAACAUAAAAUAAAAAAUGAAUAAUUGUCGCCGGAAUAUAAUAAACCCUCCGGCGGCUUGAAUAAGACGGGGAGAAAUGGUUGGUGGAAAGGGGAGGGACGGUGGGACAAUAACAAUGGCAUAAAUGCAAAAGUUAAAAACUUAAAAAUGUGAAAAUUGUAUGAACGGACCAUGUACCAUGAAUCUGUAGGCAUCAUGUCUCGCCUAACCGAUUAGUCAAAAUUAUAUUUAUGUUAGUGUUCCUUGGUUAAGGAAUAGGAUAUAUAUAUAUAUUUUUUGUUUUAAAAAAAAAAAAAAGAGAAAUAAUAGAAACUAAGGAGUGACAAAUUGAGUAGGGACCGCUGCCUGCUACAGUAUACAGCAAGAGGCCAACUCUCACUAUCUGAUCACGUGAGGGGAAGGGAACGGAGACAUUUAUACAUUUUUGUCAUAAUUUUUUUAUGGUCAUUAAAGAACUUAAAAGAACCUGGGAGUUCCAUCGUAUGUGUUGAUUGAUUUUAUUCUGUUUUGUCACUCUUUUCUAAUUUUCUAUUGGCUUAAUCAUUAGAAAAAAAAAAAACCUUAGAUUUUUGAGUUUUUUUUUUUUCAAAUUUAGAUAAUACUUUUAAUUUUGUAGAUAAUAUCCUAUAUUUAUUUUUUAUCGUCAAUUCUACCCUUUAUCUAGAGCCCAAUUGAGUGUGGUAGAGUGAUACAGCUCUAGAAGCAAAGGAUCUACUUGGUAGAUCUAGGUGUUGCCUACUCUGCAAGUUGCUUGCUGAGAAUCUAUAUUGUAAAGUGAUACUAAAUUCUUUUAAGCUUUUGAUGGGGUAGAAAGAAGAUAGUUUCAACAGUGUAAUCCUCCAAUAUAGAGAUUCUAAAAUGGCCAAAUAAUGAUCAUAUGAAUGUGAGCUAACAUAUUGUAGGGCAAUUAAAGGCUAAAUAAGCAAGAAAUUGACGGACACUGAAAAGACCGUAAUUGACAAAGGAAAAUAAGUCUGAGAUAGUAAUUAACAAAAUUAGAAGUAUUGGCUAAAUUUGCCAAAAGCGUCAAAGUUCAAUUUUUUUUUUUUUUUUGGUGAUUUAGCCUUUUCUAUUUGCCUAUCUAUUUAUAUGCAAUAUAAUUUUUUUUACAAUUUGAUUAAUGUUACUCAAAGGGUAACGUUACCCUACUAUGUAGCACAUAAUAUUAUUUCGAUGUGUUGGAUAGUAUAAAAAAAAAAAAUGAAAAUGUGGAAAAACCAAAUAAGUAUACUAAUUUUUAUUCAUCAGGUAUUAACAUUUCAUUUGCCUCCUAAAACUCCUCCAAAUUAACAUAGAUAUGAGAUUGUUAAUGCAAAUUCAAAAUAAAAUCAAGUAUGAAAUUACUAAUUUCAUUGGCUAAUUUUGUCAUUACACCAAUGAAAUUUCUGAAAAGGACAUGUAUCCCAAAACGGGUUUCCCAGAAGCUACAUUACAAUAUGAAAUUUUCAAAAAAGAUCUAAGAUACCCUACAGUUGAUAAGCACAAUUAAAGAAAGAAUGGACUCCUUAGGUCACUUUCCAAGAACAGUAUCCUUUCUUUUUGGAAGACUUCACAUUUUCAAUAAUUUUAUCUCUCAAGUUUUGGAGACUUUGAAAUAUUUUCUUGAGCUUCAAGGGGGCCUGUAUCCAGACUUCUUCUAGACGUCAAGUUCACAUUUAUUUAUAUAUAUUUCUAUUUAUUUAAAAUCUGGGUUUCAUUUAGGCCCUAUGUUUAGGAUAAUGAUGCAAUUGAAUAAAUCACCAUAAAUAAACAAUUUUGCUCUCUUCAUUUGCUUGGCAAUUAUUAUUAUUUUUUUAUUGUAAUAAUAUAAUAAAUUUAAAUUGGAAGAAGUCGUUUUAUUUCCAAUUUUCAUACAUUACUUAGGGUUGGCAGCAAUUUAUGAUUAUCACAAAAUCAAUUCACAUGAACCCUGAUGCUGUAUAAAGAAACAUGGAUCAGAGUUUUAAAAAGAAUACAAUUAAAUAAAAAAAAAAGGUUUUUAUUUUUCUUUUUAGUAAAUUAACAAUUGUUUUCUCGUUUGAAUCAAGAAUCGUAUAAUUCAUUUACAAUGCAAUACAUUUCUAUUGACAUAACCGUUUACUUGUUUGUUUAUAUAUAUUUCCUUUUUAAAUCAUAUAAAUGAAAACAUGCUCAUGAAAAAUGAAACAAAAUUGAUUGUUGAAAAAAGAAAACACUAAUAAAAAGGGAUAAUAACGAGAUUGUCCCUUAAUGCUAUGAAACCUGAAAAUUUAAUUAAUCCAAGAACCUGUGAAGUUCCUUCAGUUACUAUUCCUAAAAUACUCUGUUUUUUCAAUUUCGUCCAAACAAUACUCAUCCCCGCAAUGAGUAGUAUUGCUGACUUUCCUUUCAACUUGGCUCGUUUUAUCAAGAACCGAGACAAAUAUUUUAAAUAUUUUCAACAUUUCAGGAUAGAAGUUAUACAUUACUUAUUUAACAAUAUUUUUUCGAAAAAAUUUCGUACCGUCCUAAAUAUUAUAGGACUUAUUACACCUCUAAAAUUAUAAAUUUUGAAUAAUAUUGCAUGGUAACAACAUGUUUUAGAGUUUUUGAUUUUUAUAUGUAAACUAAUUAUUUGACACAUGAUUAAUAUAACUUUUGAAAUAAUAAUUUUCACUUAUUUUAGUUAUGUAAUAAAUGUUUAAUCGAUUUAAUUUUUGAAAUUGAACCAUUUAAUAGAAUAAUUUUAUAAAUUAAAAUAUAUAAUAAGUGUAUUUUAUAAGUUGAAAUGAUUAUAUUCAGAAUAAAAAUUGAGAAUGCCUCGAAUUUAAUAAGAUAUCAUGCAUCUUAUAAUUAAUGUAAAGAUUUUAAAUUAAAAUUUUAUUUUUCAUCUUUUAUUUUCAUUAAGGCUACAUUUUCAAAAAAUAAUUUACAUUGAAAAAUGUGUCUUCAUUUCACACUUAAAACAGUUCAAAUAAUUUAUUUUCUAUUAUUUAGUUACAACAUUAAAAAUAAUAAGAUUACUAGUUGUAAUUAGCAGCAAUUGAUAAUAGUGAGUAUCAUUGAUAAAGAGAGUAAUAUAAAUUUGUGUUUAUAAGGUUUUAAUAAAUUUAUAAUUUUUUUUUUCCUGAAAAAGAGGUAUCAUUUUUCUUUAAAAUAACUUAAUUUUCAUUUGACAACCAAAAUAUUUUUCACUUUCACUAUACUAUUUUCUUAAUCACUCCUAAACAUCUAAAUAUUUUUGUUGGAAAAUAGCAGAGGUUAAUGAAUAAUAAUAAUUAAAAAAGAAAAAAAAAAGAGUGGUUGGUCUAUUGCCCAAGAAAACAAGUCAUCCUCUAUUUUCCAGGAAAUAAAAGCAAAGUUAAGCCAACGGCAAUACAACCGCAAAGCUGAUUUGUCCUGAUCAUGGGAAGAAACGGAAAUAUCAACAUCGUCCACGUGAGAUGAUAAAUGGACAAGGCCCAACCCAAUCUUCACUCCCAGACAAAAUUGAGAUCAUACUCUGACGUCACUCAACAUUUCCCCUCUGACCUGGCCGCCUUGGUAGUUGCUUCAAUUGACCCACGUGUGAUUUUGGCCCAUUUAUGGCCCACACCAACGCUAAAGGGAAUUAAAAGUGCAACUCAUCUCCUAUUCUUUUACCUUCACGUUUUUUUACCCUUCUCAGUAAUUUUAAUACUUCCGUAACUGUAAAAUCCUACUUCUCUAUCUUCUUUGCUGCGAAUAUAAAAGGGAUACCAGGCUUCCAUUUUUGUAUACCUCAGGCUCAGGCUCAGUAUGCACUUCUAAAAGCAUACCAAACAGUCAACCAACUAAACAUUCCAAAUCUCGUUACCAGAUUCACAUGGAUUCCUCAAAUUUUUACUCUCCCAAUUCUGAUUUCUCAUCGGAAUCUUCUUUCGGAUCGCCGGAAUCCUUCUAUAGCCCAUCGUUUAACCAAGAUUCUCUCCCUUUCAAUGAAAAUGAUUCCGAAGAAAUGCUUUUGUAUGGACUAAUUUCAGAGGCAACGCAAGAAACGUCAAAAAUGGAUUAUUCGAACAAAAAAAUCAAAGAAGAGGAGGUGAGUUCAAUAAUAAAACAAAACACAAAGAAGGAAAGCAAAUCCUUCAGAGGUGUAAGGAGGCGGCCAUGGGGAAAAUUCGCGGCGGAGAUAAGAGAUUCAACUAGGCAUGGAAUAAGAGUAUGGUUAGGGACAUUUGAUAGCGCAGAGGCAGCUGCUUUAGCUUACGAUCAAGCUGCUUUUUCAAUGAGAGGAGCUGGGGCUGUACUGAAUUUUCCAGUUGAAAGAGUAAAAGAGUCACUUGAGGAUAUGAAAUACAGCCAUGAAGAAGAUGGCUGCUCACCUGUUGUAGCUCUUAAAAGAAAACAUACUAUGAGAAGGAAAAUUAUGAGCAGAGCCAAGAAAGAAAACGUCGUCGUUUUGGAAGAUUUAGGUCCUGAUUACUUGGAGCAGCUUCUUUCUUCCUCUGAAAAUGCUACACCUUGGUCAACCAAGUUCAUCUAGACUUAUUUGCUUCAUCUUUAUCUUUUUGUCUCACGUCAUUGCAAUGGUUGGAGAAACGAUUGUUUUUUUGAAUUUAGGUGUGUACCUUGAUAUCUUUUUUUUUUUUUUUUCCCUUGUAAAGUUUAUAGGGAUUUACUAAUUAAAUAUUGUAGUAAUUAAUCUUGUGAGUUUCAAUCACUGAUUUAAGUAUCAAUUCACAAGUUCCAUCUUCAUGUUGGAAACAGAGGACUCUGUAAAUUAAACAGAGUUGCACCACUGUAAUGACAGGACACAAUAGAGAAGCACAACUGCUUCACGUAAUUGCAAGUUUGCAACUAUAAAACAUUAUUGCUUGAUUUUAUGGAAAUCACCCAAAAAUAUAAUUGACCAUUUCAUUUCUAAUAACACUUCUUUACCCUCAUGACUCGUUUCAUAUCAGUGACGGUGCCCGUCCAUGCAAUGGCAUUUUAGAAAAUCUCAUGCAUGUUUUUUUUUAUCGUUGUACUUUAUUUUAAAUUUUUAUUGCACAAAUGUGCAUGAUCUAAUGAUAAGUACGUGUACUAUUUGGGUAUAAUUUAAGUUCAAUUUUUUCAAUAAAAAUUAUGUUUGGUUUUUUUUUUUUUAAUAUUAAGAAAUGAACGACGAGAUUUUACGACGGUGAGAUUUCAAUCUAUAUUCACUUUUAUAUAAUUUUAUUUUUACCGCUAAACUAAGAUACUCAUUAUAUUUAAAUAUUAAUACCAACAAGUGUACAAGUAUUGAGUAAUAUUUUGAAUUUUAUUUACAAAAACAAGUAGAGUAUGUUAUAUGAUAAUUUUGAAAUAACUAUUGUAGUUUUAAUAGAAAUAUUUUUAAAGAAUUAUUUUUGUAAAUAGUGAUGAAUAGGUUCUGAUAUCUAAUAUUGCCAUUUUCUUUUAACAAUUUUAGAAUAGUUUUUACUCUGUAAGUUCGAACUUCUUAAUUAUAUCUGUGAACUUUCAACUAUCUUUUUCAAGGAGAAUAGGCUAAAAAUACAUGAAAGAGUAGCUUUUUCUUUUUUACGGAAAUUUGUAAUAAUACUAUUCUAGAAAGAUAGACUUUGUGUUUGACAAGUAAGUAGAAACUUCUUGUUUAUUUACUUAUUAUUAUUAAUUACUACUAGUUAUUGUAAAUCCAUAUCCAACGUGCUACCAACUCUAGAAAUUCAAGAAUAUUAGUAAGAAGCUCUUGAAAAAUCAAUAUGCACAUGUUAAAUUGAACAAAAAAACAUAUAAGAAAAUUCUUGUUUUUCAGGAAGCAAACAAUUCUCUCUUGUAGUUACUUGUGAGACAAUAUAAGAAAUACGACCAAGAAAAAAAAAGUAUUGUAAUGGAAAAUAAAAAUAGUGCAUAUAGCAAAGUUAUUAAAUAAAUAAAUAAAGAAUUAGAAGCAAAAUACACUACUAGAAAUGGGUAAACCGAAAACAUAUUGAAAAGAAAGAGAAAUGGAAAAAAAAAAAAAAAAAAAGAAAUAACUAAUUAUUAUUAAUUUAAUAAAUAAAAAAACAAAGAAGCAAAACCGAAAUUGGCGGGCUGUAAAGAGUUAAGAGUGUUGGUAACCUUGAAAAGACUAAUAAAGAAAUAUUUCAGAAUUGGUCUUUAGCGUAGGCUUUGUUUGUCUCAUUCAUUUCAUUGAUUCAAUUCAAUCAAUUUGAAAAUUACUAUUUGGGUCCAAUUUCAAUCCAAACGAAUCUUCUCUUUGUUUCCAAUUAGGUUUUGUUUAUCCUGUGGUUGGAAUUGGACUGAUAUUUGCCAGAUGAGACCCCUCUAUCCUGCAAUUUUAUUUUUUAAAAGAUUAUUCUAUUCCAUUGAAAAGCAAAAGAUAAUGAAAAUGUUGAAUCUUAAUUAAACAAUACAACAAAAGUUGAAUAUUAUUAUUUUUCACUCCAAGUAUUAAAAAAUGAAAGAUUCAUAUCUUUUAUGCUUUUUGAAUUCAAAAUUGAAUGUUCAUAAUCUACAUUACCAUUUUUUGUGCUUUAAAUUUCAUAAUCUAAUGAAGAUUAAGUCCUUAGAGAGUUAUACACUUACCAAUGUCUUUAUUUAUGUAUAGGAAUCUUUUAAUAAGAAGGAUGUUGUUCUAAAUUUUGAUGUUAUAUGAUAAAUUUUCAAUUUUUUUUUUUCAUUCCUGCCAUCAAUGAUAUCCUUAAUUCAAUUUAGAUAUUGGAUAUUAAAUUUCUUUUCAUGGUUAAUUUCAAAAAAUGUAUUCUCUAUGUUGAUAUAAUGUAUUCAAAAAUAUUAUUUAUUUUUUUAGAGUUUUUGAACCAAAGAGUACAAACAAAUUACAAAUUAUUUGAUUCGAGAUUAGAAUUCAUGAAGAAAUAUUUUGACUUUUUUAGACUUGAGAUUAACAUCCAAUUGACAUUCGAAAUUUAAAAUUUAAUUAGAUCCUUGUUAAUUAUAAUGGGAGGAGUAAUUGACUGGAAUAAAUAAAAUCAAUUCACGAAGAAAAAAAUUUAAGACUUGGACCAACUAUUGCUAAAAAUAUUAAAAAAAAAAAAACCAUUUUAGACUUUUUAUUUUAUGGUAGAUAAUUAACUUUUCACUCUCUUAUGCCCUUUGUAUAAUGUGACAUUCUAACACAUUUAAUACUCUCUAUUAGAUUUGAAUUUCUUUUAAAAAAAAAAAAACUCCAUUAUUUGUUGAAUUUAUUUAUUCAUUUUUUUUUUAUAAAAAUUUUUAAAAAACUUAUAACUCCUAUCUUUAGUAAAUGGAGGUCGAAACAUGAUACUCUAUAUUAAUUGCUAAUAAAAAAAAAAAAUCACUAUCAAUUUGAUUUGAAGUAAAAUAAUUAUUGAAAGGAUAGAAUCCUAAGGGUAUGCCAUUAAUUCAAAGGAAAUGGCAAGAACCUUCUAAUUAAGGUCAUAGUUCAGUCGUCAAAUAAGUUAGUUACUGGUGAUAGAUUUGGAAAGAAUUUUUGGUUUUAAUAUCAAUUUAUGUCAUUUUCUGUACAAAUUUUACAAAAUUAAAUUGGGCCAACUGCCAACUAUAGUCAAUUCAAAAAGAGUGUAUAAUAUAAACUAUACUGUAUAUGCUUGCGUAUAGUAUUUCAAUACAUGUACCUAAGUGCUGAUAUAGACUAUACUUUAUGCAUAAAUUACGAAAAUGCAGUUAAAUAAAAAAAAAAAAUUAGAAAGGGAAAAAAAAAUAUUUUGGAGUAAUUAAGGAAUAAAUAAUUAUAUAUGUCACGUGAAUUUUGAUUGUUCCAAUUUGGUAAUACAAUCCAAGAUUAAAAGUCUUGGUGGUCAAUGUUUAAAUGUUUUGUUUAGUCAAUUCAAAGGCUAUUUAUUUUGAAAAUAUUUAUUAAUGCAAUCUAUAAAGUGUAAUAAAUAUAGUGGCAAAUCAUGAUUUUCAUUUGAUCGAUAAAGAUAAAGACAUAUCACUUUCAAUCCUAAGUGGUUAACUGAACUUGGUCACACAUGUUCGUGAUAGACUUUUAUUUAUUUAACAUUAUUAAUAAAUCAAAUUAAAAGAAUCUAUAUUCCAACUCAUACCACCAUAUGAAUAUGCAUAAUCAGCUUUUCCUUCUGUUUAAUGUUUCUAAUUAACAUAUACUUUGGAUCCACUAAUCCGCAUAUUAUACAUAUGUUGUCAAAUUAACAUGAAUCGGAAGUCUCACCUAAUUUAUUUAUUUAUGAAUUAUUAUAUUUAGUUUAAUGAUGUUAUAAAUUAUUAUUAUUGCAUAUAACUCUAAAUUUAAAAAUUUGUAUAGGGAUAGAAAUAUAGGAUAUUCUUUUGAAAGAGAAUCUCCAAGAAAAUUGUGGGUCCUACCUUAUCAAAGAGAAAGAAAUUGGUGCAAUGUAAAGUUCUUUGUACUUGUCUUGUCUACUGUCUGUGUAUUCUUCUGCCUGUCUACCAAAAUUUAAAUGCGUAUGGGUUUUGAUGUUAUGAUGAUUGACAAGUAACUACACUCAACUCUAGUGGAAAAUGAACAUUGUGAAAAAGAAAAUAAUAAUAAAGUGUAAGCUCAGAAUCUUAAAAUGGGAUCUUAAUUACCUUGUGGCCAGCCUUCUAAUUUAAUAAUAUUAGCCCAAAAGAUUAAAACAGACCCAACAGAUAAAAAGGCCCUAAAACUCCUCGUAUUGUCAUGUCGAUUGUGUCCAAUGGGCUUUGGUUCUUUUGGUCCACACAAGUUAAGGUCGUCGGUUUUAUAUACUACUCUGCUUGAAAAGGCAUGGUUUGAGCAAAUAUUUUGCAAGAACAACCAAUGGAAAGCUUUCAUUAGUAAUAAAAACAAGGAAUCAAGAAGUACAAGAUCGAAGAGUUCAAAUAUGUAGAUCAUUUAAUCACACACAAGUAGUUUCUGGUACAGCUCUCCUGAGAGGGCUAGUUCCAUGACAGCCAUAGGAUCAAUGAUUCCACCAUUUUCCAAGAACAAUUUUGCCAAGUUCUUGGAAAACCCACUAACAAGAGCCAUGCCACUUUGAUUUGCUGUAACAGGCGUAUCAGAAGAGUUUCUCAGGUUCCAAAACACAAUCUCUAGGCAUUUUAGUGAAACCUUUCUCCCUAAAUUUCCUCACUAUAGCUUCAUAAUCAGUCUUCCAUCCUUUCAAGAAACGUUGUCUCUGUUUCUCUAUUUUCAUUUCCAUUUCUCCUCCAGAUCGUUCUGAGACAUAAAAUCAUACUCUAUAUCACUAUCCAUAUCUGAACAAUCACUCUCCGUACAGGAGUCAUACAUAUAGCGACUUUUGUAUGCUUUAUGAAACUCCAUGCCGCUAAAAACAAAAAUCCUCUUUAUCAUCCAAUCCUCUUGUAGCCCUCCAUCAACAGCAACUUUCAGAAUUCUAUCAAAAACCUCUUGGAGAUCUGCAUUGGUACCCGCUUUCAUUUUCUUUAUAAACUUGGUCUUCUCCCGGAGGCUAUCCCCUUUUGAUGGAGUGAAUUUGAGGAUUUCCACUGAAUGCGGUAACUUUGCCCUUCCAUGGUUCCUCACUAAGCUCUGAAAUCAACAACCCAAGUGCAACGCAAACCUCCAUAGGAGUCCCAUCCAUUCUUCCUGAGACAUCACAUACAGUGAUGCAAUUAUUCAAUUUUCCAUUUUCUGACAUAUCUUCCACCAUCCUCGCCCAUUGCAGCUCUGCAACUUUCCCUUCGUCUACAUCCUUCAAAGAAGCAAUUAUCUCAUGAGGGAGAAGAGCACCAGCAGCAAUCUUAGCAUCUCCACGCUUAAGAUCCUCCAAAUAUGCGUUAAACCGCUCAUUAUCAUGCCUCAAGAAAUGUUCCUUGUAAUUUUUCAUGGCUACAGAAGGAACCCUAUCGUAAGGGAGGGUCUCCCACCUAUUAGAACUCGUAUACACCUCAGGUAAAUCAAGAACCUGAUGUAAAGGGACAUGUACUUCCUUCCUCAACCUAUCCCGAAUCCUAUAUACAUAAUGUGCCUCCUCAAUUCCCUCGUAUUCAGGGGAGGACUCUCUAGGGAAAAUCCUCCUUGCAAUAUUCUCGCAUGUCAAUAUAGCUCGAUCAUAAGAUGAAUUAUUAGAAGGACACCACUUUGAAGCAAGACUAAUCUUGUAAAUCUCACCAGAAUUCAGAAACUGCAAAUCUUGCUUUAAAGUAUCUGCAAACAGCUCAGCUACACUAUCAUGCAAAAAUCUAUAAACAGGAUCUCUAGUAUACCUCUCAAAAGCAUUUUUUGCUCGGUCUAGAUGCUUCUCCUUCCUCAAGGUCCUCGCUUGAGCUUUAAGGUUGGCAACCCUCACUUCUUUUGGCAGUGUUGCCUCUGGUUCAGGCUUAUAUUCGAGUGAAGUAUUGGGUGAGUAUUUCCUACUAUUUCUUCCCACCCUUGAAUGCAUCCUUGCCGCCUUUGCAGCGCGUUUCUUGGCAAACAAACUACGUUUUCUCGAAACCCCUUUAUUUGCUUUCUUCACUUGCCAUUCAUCUCUUUCUUUCCGUCUCACAUUCUCUCCUUCUAGCAACCUAUACAAUAUCUCCAGCAAAUCCUUUUAGUAUCCAAACUCUGCCAAAAUCUUCGCGUUGCAAGCUAGGGUUUUUGGGUGGUUUUUGUGCAACCAUAAAGCAGCAGUGUAAAACUGCUCCUUAUCCGACUUCCCUGUGCCCCUAACUCCCCUUAGAUUACAAACAAGCUUCAACGUCGUUAAUGGAUCACAAGCCCAAUCGUUUAUAAGCCGCUAUCAAUGAACUCUAGCGUAUCGGGCACCACGUGGAAGAAAAAGUCAAGGCAAGGGUUUCCAGAGUCCACGUACGUAAGGGAUUUGUUCUCCCUGAAGCCAGAUGUAGGGAGGGUGGUGCUUCCUAGGCGGAUAUUUCCGAUUUUUUAAUGGAAGGCGGACAAGGUCAUGUCGCCAUCAAUAUCGACGGAGAUGGAGGGGAGAUUGGAAUAGAUCCCCGGUGGGCCAACAAGAAGAGAAUCGAAGGCCAUUGUAGAUGAGGAAUUUUGAGAAGAGAAGAUAGUAGAUGGGUUUUCAAAGGUUCUGCGAUCUGGGGCUUUUUAUACAGAAGAUAAUACUAGGAGAGCAAGUAGGGGUUCAGAUUCAGUGUUGCCAUUUCACCGUAUUUUAAGUGAUCCUUUUUUUUCUUUAAAAAAAAAAAAAGAAAAGAAAAAAAUGGUUUGAAGUUUGAACGGUAUUAUUUCCCAUCUUGGCUGAACAAAAAGAUAAUGACUCAAAUAUCUCUGCUCUUAGCUAGAGUUUUACACAAAUUUGAAUAUAUUCUAGGAGCUAUUGCCUUCCCAUGGUGAUUGACUGAUGGACGUUGGGGAUAGACAUGGUGGUCUAUUCUCGUUUCAAAUUCAAAACUGCAGAAAAAUGUUGCUUAAGUAAGGCUUCUACUUCUCUCGGAGAAUAUCUAUAUGUUGUUUCAUUUUGUUAUUUAAAAGGAUUGAUCGGAUUUGGUUUACUUACAAUUGCUAAUUACUGGAACGAAUUGAAUUAGGUGUUGAUUGUGUACAAACAUUCCUCCCAUCAAUGUCAGUGAUUUUAUGCAAUUCUUAUCUUAUUAACCAACUGGAAACGGAAUUCGGAAUUUGAUCACUAAUGGGCUUUCCGGAGCCCUAAUUGUUAGUUUAUUUUGUUCUUUUUUAUUCUCCUCAUGAAUUGGAACGGCAAUUUUGAUUUGGAUGUUGUUUCUGCUUCUGUUGAAAUGAUAAUUCAUAUAUAAUUGUAAGCUACUCAAGCAGCAAUAAUCCUUUUUAUUAGGAAUUCAGGAAUUGUUAUUCUUACUUACUGAAUAUUUCGCAGGAGACUGACGGUGUCUAAUAGAACGAGCAAUACAAUAACAAUUCAGAAUUGGUGCACCAGUACUUCAAUUUAAUGAUUGCUUUAUCAGUUAAUGAAAUAAGGAAAAAAAAAAAACUUCGUCCAGCAUUGACUUAUGCAACUGAAGAUUUUUAUGUAUAAUGCCAUGAGAAAUGAGAUUGGUUAUAGUUUGUUAGAGAUAUGGAAGGAUAAAACAAAUUGUGCAAUCAGCAGGUUGUUUUCUUCCAACCAUACAUUGAAACUAUGGUGGGAUUUAUGAUAGGAGUAAUGGGCUUAUUUCAUUAAAUUACUGCAUAUUUUCAAUCACAUGCUUGUAUGUGAACUUGGAAUUAUACCUGAUAGGUAAACUAUAAAGCUUUUGGUGUAAAUUAUUAUAAAUUUAUGAUUCGCAAUGGAUGGUAGUCUUGGUGUCAUGAUAAGGUUGUUUACUUUGCAUCAGAAAUGACAGGUUAAAAAACAGCCUCAUUGCAAGGCCAGGAAAUUUUACAAGCGUUUCUAUAUUAAGAAGGAAUAGCAUGGCAUGGCCUCAUGGACUGGAAGCAGUCUACUCUUACUCGCUCUGAAUCACAGAAAGAGCAGGUAAUGUCUCUUGAGUUAUGGAAACCUAGCAAUAUGAUUGAUUAAUACUGGCUUAAAAAUCAUUAGCACUAACCAAAAAGAACUCUUGAUCGCAGUUGGGUCAAAUCGAGGAAGAAGUGGAAUGAUAUGGAUAUUAAUCUCAUUAGUUACAGUUAAAUGUUAAGAGUUUCAAAUGCUUGACAUGUGAAACGAACAAGCUUGUUAACUCAUAGUGGAAUAGCGUGUUUUUUUUGGUCCUUUGGUUCAUCAGCUCUGAGUUUUCAAUCCAUGACCUUGCUUAAGACUUUCUUUAGUGUAUGUACCAGGUAAGCUAAGUUACGCCUAUUGGUUAAUGGUUAGGAUCAAAGACAAUUACUACCUCCAGAGUGACUUCAAUAUUCUUUCCUUGUAGAAGCAGUCAAAUAUCUUGGUGAAAGUUAGCUGGAUAGACUAUCCAGCUAAUUGGAUACGAGGUGUUGGGAUUUUCUUUAACCUUAGCAGGUAGACUAGACUUUUGAAAAAAGGUUGGGGAACAUGACUUAACACACAAAAUCAAUAUUACCGACUAGCCAAUCAGAUCAUCACAUAUUAAUUAAUGUUGUUAAAGGUUUAUUAGGUAAGUCAAUUGCGUUAGAUCUUUUAGGCCCUCUUCCCUUAAGCUCAUAAUUGAACAUUUAGUUGAAAUUUGAUAAUAGGAGCUUUGCGGACAGGACUUUUCCAUUCGUAUACAAUAGUGUCUCCAAUAGUUAUGCUGGAGCUAUUUAGCAAGUAAAAAAUAGCGUGUCAAACAUCAAAAUAAGAAAUCUAUAUAUAUAAGAAAUUUCAAACCACCGACAGUUGCUGCUUUACAUGCUAGAACAUAGAUAUAUAUGCUCAUCAAUUACAAUGGACAAGCAAAGAACAAUAAGAAAGAAGAUAAGCAUUCCUUGCUUGUAGUAACUGGUGUAUGAGACAUACGAGAUGUGAUAAUAACUUGAAGCAGCGCUUAUUUAAGCUACUAAGACAUCCAAAUUAAUUUAAAUCAGUUGUUUGGAUGGAUAGGAGAUGGGGGCUUGUGGGGUGGCUCAUAUUGUGGUUUAGGUGGUUCAAUUUGAGGAGUUGGGAGGAGGAAAUCUUUUGUUCGGAGGCUUGUAAUAUUCUGCAUUUUCUACUGGAGGAUGUCCUGGAUAGUGGCCAUAAGGUGGCACUGGCUUGUGGAUAGGGGGAGGUAUAGUUGGUGGCUUGUGUUCAGGGAAUGGCUUCUCUACCUUAGGUGGCUUGUAAACUGGUGGUUUCUCUACCUUAGGGUGCUUGUAAACUGGUGGUUUCUCUACCUUAGGGGGCUUGUAAACAGGUGGUUUCUCUACCUUAGGGUGUACUUGAAAACUGGUGGUUUCUCUACCUUAGGGUGCUUGUAAACUGGUGGGUAAGGUAUUGGAGGCUUGUAUACUGGUGGUGUGAAGGUGGAAGGGCUGUAACCAGAUUCGUCUGGCUUAGAACGUUCAUAUUUGGCAGAAAGAGAGGGAGUGGCUAAAACAGCUACUCCAAGGAGGAGUAUUAAAAAGAAAGUGUGCAUCCUUAGGCUUUUGAUGGUGCUGCUGCAUGAUAAAAGAAGAACGAGGACCCGUUUAUAGUGGUUUGAAGACUUUGCCAGAGGGUACAUAUGUCAUUCUUUUGUUCAUUCUAUUUGUCACUUUGCAAAAAAGUCAAACUAAGUUUCUAAUUUUUAGUUGAGGCUUAAAUGUGAUUGUUACAUUUGGGUCCUAUUGAGUGAGCAAAAUUGGAAAAUUGGGCAAAGGCUCUGUACUCUUGUGGAGGAAACGUUUAGAAGAUCUUACUGUUGUUGAUCUUUCGCUUUCUUUGCAAUUAAGCUAAGAUGUUACACAGUUUUAGGAUGAAGCUGGUUUAGAUAAUUACUUGCAUUAACUGCAACUGCUUUAGAUUUAUUUAUAGAAAUAGUAGCAGAUUACAUUACAUAUGAACAGUCUUUAAUCCUGUUUUCCCCGCAAUGACACCCUAAUCUUUUUUUCUCUUUUGACAUUGGUCAUGACUAUUACAUUUUUAAACUUCUUCAUUUAUUUUAUGCAUUGUAGCAUAGAAGACUGAAAGUUGUUGAUGGAAUUGGGGAAGGUUCAGGACUUAACCGCUUGUGUUGCCAGGACUUAAGCCGGGCUCGUCAGUGGUAUAGUAAGAUCAUCAAAAUCUUCUCCUUUUUCGAAAAAAAAAAAAAGUGUGAACACACAACUUCUUUGUUCUGUGUUUAUUUUCUCAGCCAAUCUUAUUAUCCCAUAUUGAUUCAGGAUUAAGGUCUUAAGUCAACAUGUAAAACUUGAGCGAUUUCUCCUCCCCUUGAGCUACCUUAUGGAGAGUAAGUUAAGCUUGGUUAACAUGUUAUCAGAGACUACCGAAAAAGCCCAGUGCCAUUGUAGUUGCAUGCGAAUGCUUACUAAUAGUACCUAGUUUUAAAGCCAAUUUCAACGAUAGUGUUUAUGGUUUUACAUGCUCUAUGCUCUCGCUAAUCGAUGUCAUAUAGGCAUAUUUGUUCACAGUUAACGAAUCACUUCACUUUUACAUCCUUUGUAUAAUACAUAACUAAUCUUAUAAUAGUUGAACAAUCUUUGAAUAAUGCAUGUCCGAUAGAAUUUUGACCAACCAACCGAAGCAGAAUAUGUAAAUGACUAUAUAUAUAUAUAUAUAUAUAUAUAUAUAUAUAUGCACUGACUACUGUGCUUUACGUAAGGAUAAAUAAAAAGACAUGCCCAUCGGCUAUUAUUGACGUGCAAUAGUGCAAUUAUAGUAUGAGUUAAAUAGAGAAAAGGCAGAAUGACUGCAUAUAAGCUCUUAUUUCUAGUUUCUGAUAGUCUCUCUAUAUCAGCACUAACUCAUCAGUAGGCACGAAUCGGUGGAGGUGCCUUGUAGUGUGGACUAGGUGGCUUCUUAUGUGGCAUCGGAGAAGGCGUUAUCUUCCUUGGUGGCUUGUGAGGGCCUUCACCACCUUCCAUUGGAGGGUGUGCUGAAAAUUGACCAUGAGGUGGUAAUGGCUCAUGUUCUGGCGGCAAAAAUCCUGGUUUGGGAGGUAGAGUUGGUGGCUUGUGUUCUGGGAAUCCCUUGGAUACUUUGGGAGGUUCAGCUGGGGUUAAUGGCUUCUGUUUUCCUGGUUCAUGAACUGGCAUUGGUGGCUUGGGCUCAGGGAUUGGCUUCUCCAGCUUAGGAGGAGGUUUAUGAACUGGCAUUGGUGGCUUGUGCUCAGGGGCAGGCUUGGGGCUAAAAGCAGGUGGAAAGUGCUCAAAGUGAGAUGGCUUGUGGUGAUCGGCCAAGGAAGGAGUGGCCAGAGCCACCACACCAAUUAGCAACACUAGCAGGUAUGUGUUAGACAUUUUGAUGCUUUGAUGGUUUAAAAGUAGAAGAAUCAAUGCCCUUUUAUAAUGGUUUGGCACCUACAUUGGCAAAAGGUGUCCCAAAAUUAUUCGUUUUGCUUCAUACACAGUCUGCGAAAUGUCAAAAUAAAACUCCGCUGAUUUUUGGGUUAGGAGGCUCCACUGAGACUAUGCCAGUUGAAAAACUGGAAAAAUUAGGCAAGUUGAUGAUUCCAAAAUAGAGAGAAGGAUUGAGAAGCAAGGUUCUUUUUUCCUCCAUGAUUUCGCAAAUGUCAACUUUCACAACGAAUAUAUUUGAAAAAAUGCAUUCCUAAGUGCAUAAAUUGAAGAAAUUUAUCUUCAGUUUGUUUUUUAAUUUCGAAAAAAAUUGAUUAAAAGAUUGGCCCUUUACGCGUUUUCUUAAUUGGCGGCUGAUAGGUGUGCGGAAACAUAUGAAACUACUACCAUUAACGGUAUAAACUGAAAUUUUUGAAGGGUAAGUUUUCCCUUCUUCCUCUUUUUCUUCUUUCUUUGUUUGUAUCCACUGACCUAAGAGACAAAUGUAGAAUUAUUAUUUAUUUAUUUAUUUAUGUUCAUUAACCAUCCAUUUUUUGCCAUCUAAACUGUUUUCUAAAUUAUUCUAUAAUAAUCCCUCUUUUUUUCCUUUUGAUUUUUUCCCAAAUUAUUUACACAUUAAUUUCAAUUUAAUUAAAUUAUUACUUGCCAUUUAUUAUGAUAUGUUAAAACUUGUAUUAUUUUCAGUUAUUAUAAUCAUUUUUUUUAACUUGUAACUCUUUCGUAAUCAUUUAUUAACUAUAUUUGAAUUGACACUGGUAUUUUAAUUUUAAGAAAAUAUUCAAUUAAUUUAAUUAAUUUUUCUAAACAUAUAAUAAUAAAUUGUUAAUUAUUACUAAUCUUAUUUUAUUAUGUUGGUUUUAAGAUAAAAACCGCAGUGCAAGCAUGGUGGCCAUUUAGGUGUUGAUGGAUUGGUGGGCAUGGUGGCUCUGUUGUGGUGUAUGGCUCGCCUGGUGGUUGUCUUGGCUCAUAUCUAGGAGGCGCUACGAGCUUGCCUCCAGGUGGAAGUGCAAUCUCGUUCUCAAGAGGCAGUGUGGGCUCACCUCUAAGGGAAGGUGACGGCUCAUUUUCAAGAGGCAAUGUGGAGUACCUAGGGUUGUUUAAAUAGUUGCUACGGCUUGAAAUUGAACCGAACCAGGAGAAAAUCAAAUAAAUCUUAGAUUUUAAAAUGAAAAUUGAAUCAAACAGAGAAGCGUAUACAAAUGGAAUCAAAUCGAUUUGGUUCAAUCAUUUUUCAGUUAUUUUUUAUUGUUUUAGACUAGAUUGUUUUCUGUGUUCCAUAAAAACCGAACUGAACCAAACUGGUUGGCUUCAAAUAUUGCGCCAAGUUUUUGACAUGAUUUUGAAGUUGCAUUUGUUGUUAACUUCAACAAUGUUGGAGCCAUUUGGUUGCAAUUUGCAAAUAUAGCGUUAUUUUAAAAUUUAUGAUUUUGAAGUCCCUUUCCUCUUAGCAGAUUUCUACCUUUUCAUUUUAUUUUUAAAUUUAUGAGUGAUGUUAUUAUUUAUGUUCUUAAUACUAGGUUUCUACUAAGUCUGAAUUAUUGCAAUGGAGUUAUUUAUUCAUUUAUUUGUUUCUGCUUGACUACUUUUAUUUCUGUAACCAUAUUAGCUGAAAAAUUAUGAAAGAUAGAUAAAUAAUAAAACAUGCAAAGCAACCCUAGCAUGUGGUUUAUUGGUACUUAGAUUUUCAGUACACCAGCAAACCUAGCAUGUCGUUUAUUACUUACACUUAUUUCUAUAUAAUAUGAUAGGCCAGCUUUGGAUAUUUGACGGUAUUAGCUGCUGCUUCUGUCCAUAUAAGAUGAAACCUACAAAGUUAUUGGAGGGUCCCCUUUAGGUGGCGGGUGAGCCUGACCUUGAUGAGAUGGUGGUGGACAUGGCUUUUGGCCUUUUGGAGGUGAAACAGGCUCUCCUUUUGAAGGUGGUGGAUUGGGUUUAGGCUGUGAAGGCUGUUCACCUCUGGGUGGUGGACACGGCUUGCCUUUAGAUGGUGGUGGACGCUCACCCUUUUGAGGUGGCUCAGAUUUAGGAGGUUGUGAUGGUGGCGGACGCUGCUGGCCUUUAGAUGGCGGUGGACCCUCUCCCUUUUGGGGUGGCUGUGAUGGUGGAGGACACGGCUUGCCUGUAGAUGGCGGUGGACGCUGGCCUUUUUGGGGUGGCUGUGAUGGUGGCGAAGGCUGCUGGCCUUUAGAUGGCGGUGGACGUUCACCCUUUUGGGGUGGCUGUGAGGGUGAAGGACACGGCUUGCCUGUAGAUGGCGGUGGAUGCUCACCCUUUUGGGGUGGCUGCGAUGGUGGAUGACACGGCUUGCCUUUAGACGGCCGUGGACGCUCACCCUUUUGGGGUGGCUGCGAUGGUGGAGGACACGGCUUGCCUUUAGACGGCGGUGGACGCUCACCUUUUUGGGGUGGUUCAGAUUUAGGAGGCUGUGGUGUUUGCUGCUUACAGCCGGCACAUUGAUGAUGAUCGUUAUUAUUUUCAUCCAUUGAACUUAGGUUUUUGGGUUGAUCAUGGGAGAGGGAUGGGAUGACAAAAACCGUCAAAGCAAUGAAGAAGUAAAGCAGCAGCUUCAUGUAUGGAGUAGACAUUUUUGCACUACAAUGGGUUGCAGAAGGUGUGAUAUAUGUUGGCAAUUUAUAGCUGUUGAAGGUUGUGUGAAAUUGUAAUAUGCUUCAACUCAUAUUUGUUUGAUUCAAGCAAUGUUAAGGUCAUUUGGUUUGUUCAUUCAUAUACGUGUAACCUUUCUUCAGCCAAAUGGCAAUGCAAAUCUAUGUGCAUGCUUUUCUUUCUCUCCUCUCUUGUCCUAAAUGAAGAAUUUACCAUUUUAAGGAGUAUUUUAGUGCUUUCAUUGUAAACUUUUUUUCCUCUUUACUCAUUUUUUUCUGCAUAUAAAUACUUUCCUUUGCUGCAAUUAGCUCAAACGAAAGGCAAAAAAAUAUACAGGAAAUAUACUUUUUUAUUUAAUAUUAUUCAGUUCAAGCAACAUAUUCAGCUAAGCAAAAGCAGCACAAACAACACAAUCCACAAAUUUUAUUUAAGUGGUGGCAUUAUAUACUCUAAGCCCUUAUUUUCACACACGUACCAUGAGACUAUAAUCUUCAUGAUAAGAUAUAAAUACAGGGACCGACAUGAUUAUUUGUUAUCAAUACAUAAAUGGUGGAGCAGAGAUAGGUGUUGGAUAGCUUCGACAUGCAAUUAACACUUUCUAUCCCUCGGAAACUUUACAACACCAGAACAUGGCUGUUUCUGCAACGGAAAUAAUAACUGGUUACCAAAAGAUAACGUUUUUCUUCCAGAAUUAGAGGGAGGCCUUCCACGCGGUGGCCUUCUUGGUGGAAUUCUUGGUGGCCUUCUUGGUGGUAAGAGUUGAGCAUCAAGCGAAGGGGUUAAAGAAAGAAUCAAAGCUCCAACGAGGAACAAUACUAGCAAGUGCUUGAGACUGAGACUCAUUUUUUGAGCUAUUAAUUAGUGAUCUGCAGAAACUUGAGAACUGGAGUGGCCAUUUAUGGUGGAUUGCAGGACUAAUUCGUCAAACCACGGGCCUUUGGAUAGUUGACAUCUGUGUUCAUUAGUCUAAUCACUUUUUGAAACGAUGUAGAAAGCCUGAAAGUUAAUUAGCCACUCCUCCCGAGGGAAAACAAGUGGCCAUUAGGCGAGUACAGCUUAAUCAGUUGGUAGCAAUGUGUGUAGUAUGUCCAUUUUGUCUUCAUUGGUCGAAAAGCUUGACAAUUUUCAUUAAUCACUAUUCCAAAUUUCUUUUAAGAUAAAGUUAAGUAAGUUAAUGCAGUUGUGCUAGGAAGAAAGUAGAGGAACCUAUAAAAGAAAUCUGGUCUAAUUACCUUCUUGAAGCGGUGUGGAGAGUAUUGAAAAUCAAUUAGCUACUCCUUUCCUCCCCAAGGAAAAUAAACAUUGUGACAUGACUACUAGUAAGACUUGGUUUACAUUUGACAAAAAAAAAUUAAUGAAAUAUUAAGUAAAUUUAUUAUUAUUCUCUUGUUUAGCUACGCUAUAAAAACUUAACUGAAAAAUAUUUAGAAUUAUUUAGAAAUUAGUAAAAUAAAUUUAAAAAAAGGCAUAAAAAUGAUUAAUUGAUAGUUAUCCUGAUGGUAAAGGUUGGUGGUAGCCAUUGACUAAUAAUUGAUGGUAAUUACCCGUGAUCAACAAUUUAAUAUAAAUAUAUGUUUUUAAAACUAUAAUAAGUUUGUAUUACAAGAAUCCAGCUAUUUUUUAAUAAUAAUAAAUUUAUAUUUACUGAUAAAAAAAUUAUAAUAAAUUUAUUAAUAUUCGAAAAAUAUUUUUCUUUUUUUUUUUAGAAGAAAAAUGUUUUUGUAAAAAAAAAAGUUAUUUUUUUUCUUAAAUAGUAUAAUUUUCCUUUCCUAUGGAAAAUAUUUCUUAUUCAUUGAUAUUUUUUUUACACUUCAAAUGUCAGAAAAUAUGUUUAGAUAACUUAUAUAUUAAAAAAAUAAUUAAAAAAAAGGACGCAGCCCUCAAUUUCAUUAGUAAUUUGAACGGUUAUGAUUCCCUACACGACUUCUGCGUUGUUGGAUCACGUUUCUUUCAUUGUCUCUUGCCAUUUUGUGUGGCCCGCUGACUUCAUUGAUUAUAUAUAUAUAUGUAUAUAUGUCGUGCCCUACGAUAUUGAAGGAGCAAUAGGCACGUGUAUUCUAACAUCGAAGAAGCUUUCUACGUUGGACCAUAAAUUUCUCGCCACGUCGUCAAGUACACCUAAAACUACAAAAGGAGAUGACGACAAAAUGGGAUCCUAUGUUUUGACCCAAUGCAGGUGUCAAAGAUCUAUUGGGUGACGUGUGACAGCCGAUAGAUACUUGUUCUUGGGCAACUAAUGUCAUUGGCUGGAUUUUUUACUCAUUUAUAUUUUUUAUAAAUAAAAUAAUAGAUUUUUUAAAUUGAUAUUUGGUGGUGUCAGUUUUUUUUUUUAAUUUUAUUGUGAAAUCUCUUAAUUACCCCUCCCAACAUCUAUCAACAGCUAUAUAACGGCUAGUUUUAAGAGUAUUUUUGAAAAAAUAAUUUUUUGGAUUUAUUACAAAUUAAGUUCAAGCUCUUUUUUUUUUUUUAAUUAUGUUCAAAUUUUUUUAAACAAAAAAUAAAUUCAGUUGAAGAUUUUUUUAAAAAAAAUAAUUAAGUUCAAGUUUUUUAAAAAAAUAAAUUUAAUUGACGCAUUUUUUUAUUUUUUAGAUGUAUUUUUUUUUUAGAAAUAACUUUCACAAAUUUUUAAAAUUUUGAAAACCGGUCUUCAAAAUUUAAAAUUUAAAAUUAUACGAUUCGCUGGAAAACAGAUCGAAACCGUCGGUUUUGAAACCGUUAAAGAACCAGAACCGAAACCAUUCGGUUCCAAACCAAAACCAAAAAUUUUGGGUUUGGUUCCGGUUCCAAAAAAUUUAGAACCGGAACCGCCGGUUCGAAACUGUAGCCACUCUUAUAUAUAUAUAUAUAUUUUUCCAUACACGUGUCACCAAAUUCUGGCACAAACAAUAUCUCUAAAUCAAGUUUCUCAAUAAUCUAAACUCUAAAUUUUAGUACACUCAACAGAGUAAUCAAAAUUUUCAAAUUAAGAAUUUGAAAAUUAAUAGUAUGAACUUACAAAUAAAUGAUUGAGUAUAUCAAUUAUGGAAUUCAAAGUGUCAAUUUGUAAAUGAACUUCAUAAACUUUAAAGUAUCGAAGUGAUGAACUGUAAGUUGCGAUUUAAUUGACAAUAUAAUCUAGAUACGUGUGAAGAAUUCUCAUAUUCAAUAUGAAAAAAAAGGCAAAGAAUUUUAAUUAUGUGUAAGCUUCAAAUUAAAUUAGCCUUACAUAAUAAUAAAAUUCAAAUAUCAGUGUUUUAAAAAAUUUAUUGAAGUGAUAAAAUAAAGGUUAACAAGUCGCAAUUAUUAAAAAUCAGUUGCAAAAGUAAAAGCGAGUGGAGCUUUGGGUUUCACAUAGUUGAAAAGUUUGACAAUUUUCAUUACUUACAAUUUUAUAUUUCUUCAGACACAAAAUUAAGUUAUCCAUAGCAGCACAUGUUUGUAUUUUAACAUGCUGGUUUAUGAGCCAAUAGGUUCCUGAUUUGAACUGAUUUAUGAAAUAUCUAUUGGGGUUUAAUUUGAGAUUUAACUUGUACCAUAUAUUAACUUUCAAGUGCGGGAUGAUUAAGCCAACAAGGUCAAGUGGUAGCUGCAUGUUAAUCCAUUAUGCUUUCUUGUCACCAUUCAAAUUAAUCACGUUAUUUAGACCUAAUUUACAUAUACUACCUUUUUCCAUGCAAAAGCAUGCAUGUACGUAUUAUUAUUAUUAUAUGUGUAUAAUUUGGAUAUUGAUAGACUUGGAAGUUUAUGAACUUCUACUUUAAUUUAUCCAUUGCUAUUGUUUAUAAAUCUAGCUUAAUUAUUAUGAAUAUUAAUUUUUAGUACGCCUACAUAUGAUAUUAAUUAAUUGUUAUCAUUAGGAUUUUUAAUUUGGGACUUUGUUUGGAAAGGAGAGGAAAGAAAAUAAUAGUGGAAGGAAAAUAAAAAGGAAAAAUAAUGAAGUACUAUUGUUUUCUUUUCUUAGUCAAUUUCCACUCUUUCGUUUGAAUGGAAAGGGGAAAAAAAAAAAAGGAGAAAUAAUGGAUUUAUUCCACAUUAAACAACAUGUAAUUUUUCAAUUCAUUCAUCAUUUCCUCUCUAAUUUAAAAUUUCUGUAGAAUGGAGAGGAAAAAAAAUACAUAUUUUCAUUCUUUCACCCUUUUUAAACAAAGAAAAUUCCUUUCCCUUGAUAUGUUAUAUAUAUAUAUAAUGUUUUUUUCUUUGGGUUACAAAAGGAAAGAGACAAAGAAACCUAUCUCAAAAAGUUAAUAUAUAUAAAGAGAAAAUCUCCUUCUCCAAACAAAGCAUUAAUAUAAGUUCAUACCAAUAUUGAUGUAAUGAGAGUCAUUACAGAAGGAAAGUUAAUCAUAUUUUGUAACUUGGGGUGCUUCGAUCCAUUUUUAACUUCAUUAAAGAAGAAUAUCAAGGGAGAGGGCAAGUACAUUAAAGAUGAUUACCUUUUCUUUUAUUUUCUUCUUCCCUUAUUUUGGCAAAUUUUGCAUGCAUCAUCUCUUGGCAAAUGAAAUUGUCAGUAUAGUAAUAUUUUUCUGACCUUCAAAUCAGUUAACUGAAAUGAAGUAAUAUAUGUAUGUACGUAUGUAUGUAUGAAACCCAAAAUAGUCAAAGUUCAAACAAAUCAAUACUUUAGUUGGCUUUACUAUUCAAUUUAUAUAUGGCCACGAAUAUGCAAAGCUGCAACUAGUAAUUAACUUCCAACGUCCAUGGAAUCAAAAUUUACUGUUUUGUCAUUUUCAUUAAGGAUGGUGAUUAUAUUCAUUAUCUCACUAUUGUAAAUCAUUAAUUGGAUUUUUAAUUAUCUUAACAUUUAGUCAUUCCAAUUAGAUUAGAUAUAAUAUUAAUUUGCACAAAAGAGGAAAGAAAAGAAAGAAAAGGUGAUUUCGUAAACUAGAAAACAUGCAUGGUUUAUAAUACUGGCAACGUAAGGUAAACAUACAUUGGAAGAGCAUACUAAUAUAGAGUAAUGCUCAUAAGCCACAACCCAAUACAUAAAAGCAACUGACUAAACAUAUCCAAGUAAGAGACAGUUUAUUGCUAUCUAGCUAUGUAUAUAUAUAACCAUGCAUAGUAGUGAAGCACUCAGUUGGCUGAUGGAGGUUUGUAGGGUGACUUCAACUUCCGUGGUGGCUUCUCUCCUUUGCCUUUAGGAGGAUCUUGGGGUGGUUUGCGUUCUGGGAAUGGUUUUCCUCCUUUACCGUUAUCAGCCUCCAUCAAAAUGUGCCCAGGGAGAGGAUCAUGUGGAGGCUUAUGCUCUGGGGGUGGUCUCUCACCAUGUUCCUUUGGAGGUUGCUGUGGCUCUUCAUGUUCAUGGGGUGGUUUAUGUUCCGGCAGUGGCUUCUCUCCUUUGCCUUUAGGAGGCUCUUGGGGUGGUUUGCGUUCUGGGAAUGGUUUUCCUCCUCUACCCUCAUCAUCCUCCAUCAAAAUGUGUCCAGGGCGAGGAUCAUGAGGAGGCUUAUACUCUUUGGGGGGUUUCUCACCAUGUUCCUUUGGAGGUUGCUGUGGCUCUUCAUGUUCAUGGGGUGGUUUAUGUUCCGGCAGUGGCUUCUCUCCUUUACCCUUAGGAGGCUCCUGGGGUGGUUUAUGCUCUGGAAAUGGCUUUCCUCCUUUACCUUCAUCAUCCUCCAUCAAAAUGUGUCCAGGGUGAGGAUCAUGAGGAGGCUUAUCCUCUUUGGGUGGUUUCUCACCAUGUUCCUUUGGAGGUUGUUGUGGUCCUUCAUGUUCUGGAGGUGGUUUCUCUCCCUUACCCUUAGGAGGCUCUUGGGGUGGUUCGUGUUCUAGAGGUGGCUUCUCUCCCUUACCUUUAGGAAGCUCUUGGGGUGGUUUCUCACCAUGUUCCUUUGGAGGUUGUUGUGGUCCUUCAUGUUCAUGGGGUGGUUCAUGUUCUGGAGGUGGCUUCUCUCCCUUACCCUUAGGAGGCUCUUGGGGUGGCUUCUCUCCCUGACCUUUAGGAGGCUCUUGCUGCGGUUUAUGCUCUGGGAAUGGUUUCCCUCCUCUACCCUCAUCAUCCUCUAUCAAAAUGUGUCCAGGAUGAGGAUCAUGUGGAGGUUUCUGCUCCGGUGGUGGCUUUUCACCCUUUCCUCUAGGUGGCUCUUGUGGCUCCUCAUGUUCAGGAGGUGGUUUAUCGCCUUUACCCCUAGGAGGCUCAUGAGGUGGUUCUUGUUCUGGAGGUGGCUUCUUGGGAGGCCCGUGUGGGCCCUCAUGGGAUGGUUCAGGUUCAUGCCUAGGCCUGGGAUCGCCACCAGCCUGAAACUGAUCAGCAAGUGAGGGUGUUGUGGUGCUGAUGACCACAACUCCCAGGAAAAACAAGACUAGCAAGUAUUUAGGAUACAUGUUGGCUUCGAGCUUUAGUGAUGCAAAACUUGUGAGGAUCGAGUGGCCUUUUAUAGCAGAUCAUUGGGGCCUACGUUACAUUACUACGUCUGUCAUGUUCCAUAGUGAGGUCCAUUCAUGAGUCCAACUGCGUUGAAAAAUGUGACAAAAAUGUUUUUUAGUAAUAUUUAUUUAUAUUUUUCAAAGAAUAUAAAGUUUGAAGCUCUUUCUCCACUGAGAGGUCAAAUAAUUUCUGUGGUAGCAUUAUCAUGCUUGCUUCUUAUUGGCUAGAAUUGCGUCUGGACUUUUAGCUUUCCAUUUCACACCGGAUCUCAAACGGAUAAAUUAUUGUUGGCAGAAAGCAUAUGCAGUAGGAAAUAGGAAAUAGCGUGAGUAUUAUAAAAGUUGAAUUGACCUUUUUGUCUUUUUCUUUUUCAUCCCAUAGGCUUCGAUUACGUGAUGGAAAUAAGUUUGUUUUUUCCCCACUUUCCGUCAAAUAUUUUACCACUAGGAAAGUGUAGAUGGGCAUGGAUAAAAAUUUUAUAAUGCAUUUCUCCAUGAAAAGAAUUUUAUAUGCAUGAAUUCCCUACUGUGGGCUAUCAACUAGUUUUUUCUUUCUUUCUUUUUUUUUUUUUUAAAUUGGUAGCUAAAUGCAUAAAUACAUUUUUAUAUUUUAUAAAAAAAAUUCAUUAAAUAUUUUAAUUUAUAAAACUAUGCCGAUUAAAUAUUUCAACUAAUAAAAUUUUUCAAUUGAAUAUUUCAACUUGUAAAAUUUAAUAUAUUAAAUAUUUAUUAAAUAGUUAAAAUAUGUGAAAGUUAUUAUCCCAAAAUUAUAAUAAAAAUACAUAAAAUUAAUUUUUUUUUUUACUUAUAGACUUUAAAAUGCAAAAAACUAUUAUUGUUGGUGUAGAAAAAUAUGAAAAUAUAUUAAAAUUCAUAACUUUAAAUACAUAAUAGAUCCUUACAAAAUUAGAGAUAUCGCAGGAUUUUUUAUUAUUGAAGUACAAGAAUAUAUUUAACCGUUAACAAUUAUUCUUACAUGAAUAACCACAUUAAAUGGAUUUAGUUCACUUUGCGGUAUAUGAACUAACUUACUUUUUCGGGGAAAAAAACUAACUUAUAAGUAUUUAUUAUAUGAGUAAGACAAGUAUAAUAAUAUAGAAAUUAAUUUCAUAGGGUGAAUGUAAUAAUUCAUUACGUAAUAUAUAGAUAAUAGCUUACUAAUCCAAGUCUUUGAUAGCUAUUGAUGAAUUCAUAAUUAUACAGGACAUAAUAAUUUUUGAUUUUUACUAAAAGUUAAUAAGUCAAAAAAAAUUUAUUUUCCAUAAUAAUUCACUAAUUUCAACUAAAAUUAUAAAUAAGAGUAAAUUGAUAAAUUAUGAAAUAAAACUUCAUUAAUAUAAUUUUUUUUAAGUUUCGUGUGAAAAUUGAACUGAAUAAUUAUUUUUAGAUUUAUAGGAUAUAUAUUAAACUUUUGAAAACGUAGUCUCAGGUGAUAUAUUUCGUGGUUGAAGUUGAAAAUUUUGACAAAUUCUUUUCUUGUUCUUUUUCAAACGAUUUUUUCUUCUUUUUCUUUUUUUUUUUCAACUGAGGAUGACAUGGUAUUGUGAAAAAAAAAAAGCAGACUGCUAAACAAAACUAACGACGGGGAUGAGAAUGACAACAAGAGAACUAGAUGCAGUGAAUAGCUCGCGAUGGAGACAAACAUCGAUUGAGAAAUAUAUUUUGUCCCCACGAAGUCGAAAAUUUUGACAAAUUGCCAACUCCCAUUUCUUUAGCAUUGUCAACUUUCUGGCUACUUUCCUUUAGUUGUUUCGAGAUUUAGAAAUUAAUUCCAUUAUUAGUAAUUUCGUUUCCGAGUUUUUGAAUCACAAAAUUUUAAUAAAAUAAUUUUAUAAGUUAAAGUAUUUAAUAAUGAAAAUUUUAUAAAUUGAAAUAUUUAAUAAAUCAAAUUAAAAAUUAAAAUUGUCACAAUAAUUUUAUAAAAAUUACAGAGUAACUUUAUGUAUUUAGUCGGAUAUAUUUAUUUAAAAAAAAUAUUCUGCAUGUUAUUUUUAGUUGGUUAAGAAAACAGUUUUUGUAAUAUUUGGACAAAAUGCAAAAUCAGAAACAAAGAUCUUUCACCAACAGUUUUCAUGAAAUCAAAUUGAUAGAUCAACACCAAAAAUUGUGUUGGUGAAUGAGAGCUAUAAUUAAUAAUUUAUCACAGAGCGUGUGAAUCCAAGCAAGAAUUUGGACAUAGAAAUCGGCCAUGGCGAACACAAUAAUGUCCAAGAAAGUACCAAAAAGCAAACAAAUUAACGAAAGGACGAGAGUUGAAAAGGUUGAAUUUCAUCCACCGGGAUUUCUUUUAUUUAUAUGUUUUUCUGUUUUUAUUUCACAAUAACGUACAGAGCAGAGACAGUGACUACCCACGUGCCAUGUUUGCUCUGUACAUGAUAUAUAUCUUGUGAUGGAUAUGAAUGUACCUUUGGGAAAAGUUUCUGCGUCUUUACAUGUUUGUCAACCUGCUAAAAUUGUCGGUCACAUUCAGAAUUGUGGAACUAAUACAUACCAAAAACAAAGCAUCCCCUUAAUAUUUUUAUCUUCUUUUUACAUUUAACGUGUUUUUAAUUUUAGUUGUCAAAUAAUUAAUUAUAGACAAAAUAAGCCUAAUUUAUAAUAGUCUUUUUUUUCUGAAAUCUAAUUUACAGUAAUCUAAUACAUAUAAAAAAAUUAAUAAAUUAUAAAUUAUUCUAAUAGGCCUGCCUAAUCAAAAAAGCAAAACUACCUUUGGAUUGGAAGAUUGUCUUCUAUCGAUGCAGAAAUGCAAUUAUUUUUAUUAUUAGUAUUAUUUUUUAAUGCAAAGUGAUGGAAGAAUGCUCACAUACUUUGACUCCACAGGACCACAUUAGUACCGCCUCGACAGGUAAUCACUCGAUUUAAUUUUUUCCAUGAUUUGGUGUAACUACCGCGGAUCUUUCCUUUUUUUUUUUUCUUGGUUUGAUUAUAUUUUGCUGAUUAAAUAUAUUUGACAUAAUAAAAAGAAUUAGUGUUUUUUCAUAGGAAAAACAGAUAAAAUGUUUUAAAAAAAAUAUAUAUUUUUUAAAAAAAUUAAAUAUGAGCUUCGUGUUUAAUCUAUCUUUUAUACAAAAAAAAAAUCAGAAACUAAUUCACAAAAAUGGAAAAACAUCAAAUUAAUAGUAAAAUAUAUUCUAUAUAAUAUAAGAUAUCUUAAUCUAUAAGUAAUUCUCUUUCUCAAAAAAAAAAAAAAANNNNNNNNNNNNAUAUAUAUAUAUAUAUAUAUAUAUAUUUUGUACAUGCUUAAAUUAAUUAAAGCUUGAGGGUGAGUGCAUAUGUAACCGUCCACAAGGACUCCAGUCCAAAUUGUCAUUCUCCUAGUGCAAAGUGGAGGAAAUAAAAUUGCACGUGAUAUUGUACAACAUAUACUCUGAUGUGUUACUAUUUUCCUUUUCCGACAUCUGAAUAUCAUCACGUGGUAAUCAUUUAAAACAAUUCUUACAAAAAAUUUAAUUAUGUUCUAUUAAGAAAUUCUACAAUCAAAUUAUUUUGUGAUAGAAUUUAGGUUGUAAUAGAAAAGAAGAAUAGGAUAUUAAUUAGGCGAUUGUUAUAAAUUUGGAAGUAAUAAAAUUUAUUUCUAUUGUUUGUAAUAAUUAAAAAAAAAAUCAGAUAACUUAUUUAACUUACUAUUUUUAAUAGUACCAUUGAAAUUUCUUUUUCUUUGUUUUAAAAAAAAUAUUGAAUUUUCUGUUUAAUCCAAUAGGUAAUAUUUUUUUUUAUAUAUAAAAGAAUUUAACUAUUCCAUAAUAUGUUAUGGAGUAUUAGUGAUUAAAUUAAAUUCUGUGGAAUUAAAUCUUUACAUUUCUUCAAAUUGCUAAUGGACUUAUUAACGAGUCAAUAAUUUAUUAUCAGCAAUAUCGGAAUAAGGAUUCAAUCCUGUUGAUGCCUUCUGUACGUGAUAGUUGCAUUGUGACUGGGUUCUUUUGAUCGUCAAAUUGCCACGCAUUAUAUAAUAAAGGAAAGAUAUAAAACCAUAAAAGAGUAACACUCAUUAUAUAUAUAACAGUAUUCAACAUAAGAACAACCAACUAGGGGCCGGUGCUCAGAUGGUACGUACAAGCCAAAAUACAAACACUAAAAGAACAGAAGACUAAACCUCCGUUUCUUAUUCCCAACAUUUUAUCUAUUAAUGCUGGUCAGUAACCAGACACUUGAUUAAUUAGUUCUCAGUUGGAGGCUUGUGCGGUGGCUUUUGGGGCGGCUUAUGGGGUGGCAGGUGUUUUAAUGGUGGUUUCUCUCCCUUUCCUUUAUAUGAAUCCUCAACUAACUCUUCCUCAGCCAAAAGAUGUCCAUGUGGUGGCUUGUGGGGUGGCUUGUGUUUUGGUACUGGUUUCUGUCCCUUUCCUUUAUAUGAAUCCUCGGCUAGCUCUUCCUCAGCCAAAAGAUGUCCAUGUGGCGGCUUAUGCUUUGGUGGUGGCUUAUUACCCUUAUGUGAGUCCUCUACAACCUCUGUAGCUAAAAGACGUCUGAGGGGUGGUUUGUGCUCUGGUGGUGGCUUGUGCGGUGGUUUGUGCUCGGAUGAUGGCUUUUGAGGUGGAAAAUUCUUAGGAGGUGGUUUCUCUCCCUUACCCUUAAAUGGCGGUUUUUGGAAGUCCUCUACGCUAUCCUCGCUUAAUAGGUGCCCAUGUGGUGGCUUGUGUGGUGGUUUGUGCUCUGGUGUUGGCUUUUGAGGUGGAAAAUUCUUAGGUGGUGGCUUUUGAGGUGGAAAAUUCUUAGGAGGUGGGUUCUCUCCCUUACCCUUAAAUGGUGGUUUUUGGAAGUCCUCUUCGCUAUCCUCACUUAAUAGGUGACCAUGUGGUGGCUUGUGUGGGGGGUUGUGCUCUGGGGGUGGCUUUUGAGGUGGGAAAUUCUUAGGUGGUGGCUUUUGAGGUGGAAAAUUCUUAGGAGGUGGGUUCUCUCCCUUACCCUUAAAUGGUGGUUUUUGGAAGUCCUCUUCGCUAUCCUCACUUAAUAGGUGACCAUGUGGUGGCUUGUGUGGUGGGUUGUGGUCUGGUGUUGGCUUUUGAGGUGGAAAAUUCUUAGGAGGUGGUUUCUCUCCCUUACCCUUGUAAGGUGGAUCAUGGACAUCCUCUACAUUAUCCUCACUUAACAGAUGACCAUGUGGUGGCUUGUGCUGUGAGUGGUGGUGAUCAUAAUGAUCAGCUAAUGAAGAAGAAAUGGAGAGAAUCACGACUGCUCCAAUAAGGAGCAACACUCGCAAGUUUUUAGAAGAGAACAUGUUUGA
This 41065-nucleotide long non-coding RNA is filed under the name Jatropha curcas. Its description in RNAcentral is "long non-coding RNA (JCUR_LNC001011)". The record is from RNAcentral. Lineage: Eukaryota; Viridiplantae; Streptophyta; Magnoliopsida; Malpighiales; Euphorbiaceae.